Molecule: long non-coding RNA, 1356 nt
Filed under: Oryzias sinensis (Chinese medaka)
Lineage: Eukaryota; Metazoa; Chordata; Actinopteri; Beloniformes; Adrianichthyidae
Description: lncRNA (ENSOSIG00000018228.1)
Source: RNAcentral
AUGAUCUCCCCGUCGGCACACCUGAACCAAUCUGGCAACCCAAAUAAUGACGUUACACCACUCUUAGCAACGAUUGGUCAACAUAUUUGCAUCUGGGCCUGGCACAGUGUGCAUUUACGAGAGGAGUUUGUUUCAAUAAAGUUGGGGAAAAGAAAAAAACGAGCACAUUUUGUCACGACAGUCAAAGCGACAACAAGAGAACUUCAUGCCACAGAAAAAGAUGAAGAACUUCAACAUCAAUCAAAAGUAUCAAAAAUAUUGGAGGUUGUGCAGGGUCCACAUCCCAAGAUGAUCCUGACAUCACUGAAAAUGUCAUCUCAGAGGCUCCAAGAGAGGCGUGUAUGGAAGAGGAGCCGACUGGAUCCAAAAUUCCACCUACCGGUACCUCAAAUCCAGUUGGUCCAGCUGAAUGACCAACCACACUCUCUGAUCCAGAAAGAAUGGAUUUGGUGCAAAGAGGUCCUUUUCAGACCGAUAAAGACUAUGACUUUCCAAAAUCCCCCUCAUUGAGCUGUUGUGUUCUUUAUGUUGGAUUGUUUUAUCGUUAUUUGAUUUUCUAUUAAGUUGCUGUUUUUAAUAAGUUGGAAUUUUGAGAAUGUCAUUUGUUGAUUGCCUAAUGUUACAUUAAAAAUAUAUAUAUAUUUAUAUAUACAUUUGUCAUUCUUUUUUUUUUCUUUGCAUUUUAAAAUUUGUUCGGCACCACUAAAUGUGCAUCCAACAUGCAGGCAAUUUACUGUAUUCAAUUCUUCGGCAGCAAAAAUAAUUCACAAAUGUAUUAAUAGACAGAUCUCAUUUAUAUUACAACAAAAGUUGCGUUUUUUUUUUGGUGCUGCUGACCAGUUAGAGGGCCCACAAAUUAAAUUUCGCUUAGGGCCCCCAGAAGACCAGGGCCGGCCCUGCUCAGGAGUCAUAUAGAGUUUAAACACGACCAAAGAUUUUUCACACAAACCAACAAACAAGAGGUUUUUUUUGCUUGUCCCUCACACAAAUAACUGUUGUAUUUUGUAAUAAUUUCCAUCUUUUUUUGCAACAUUGCUACUAGAACUCACUUUUCAUCUUUGCCCAGGAAUAUUAAUUUAAUGAAUCAUGAAAUUAAUGAAUGAGCACAGCCUUGAAUGAUCUUUUACACUUUUUUUUAAUCUUUUCCACUAUUAAGGUUGUAUUAGGUUACAUUUUUACUGAAUGCUUUUUGUACUAAAUUGCAUGCUUUAACUAUGAUUUAUAAACCAACAAAAUUGAGUGAGUGAAGUUAAAUAGGCUUUAAAUGAAGGACUUUUCAUUUUCAGAGCUCUUUUUUCCACAACCUAAAGAAGAGUAAUUGGAUUUUAACAACAACAUUCAUGUUCAACACUAGAU